Pan troglodytes (chimpanzee) is the source of this 606-nucleotide long non-coding RNA. Lineage: Eukaryota; Metazoa; Chordata; Mammalia; Primates; Hominidae. The record is from Ensembl.
AUGCCAGGGCUACGGGAUUCCACUGGCUGUAGCACCUCAUCGCCUGCUGUAGGCUCCAUGACUCGUUUCCAGUCUGCCAUCUUGUGGUCCUUCCUGUUGCUGCAGUCAUACUGGUUUACCGAGAGGGCAACAGUGGAUUUAGUAGACUUCAGGGUGAAGAAGAGUGCUCACCAGAUUCCCUUCUGGUCUGGAAAAAGAAAUCCCUUCUUUUGUGGAUGUCAUGUCUACCAUCUCUCGGUGAAAAAUAUUUCAAGAGAAUCCUAAGAUGGAGAGAGCAUUGGAAGUCAUCCGGCCCAAUUCCCUCAUGCAAUUCAAAGCUUCUUUGUAAGGUAGGGCACCAUUUACUUUUAUAAGGCCAACUUUGCGGAGUUUACUACUUUAUAAAGCAAGCUAUCGAAUAUUUACAGCUACAAUUGUGAAGAAAUACUUGAUAAAACUCUUUGAAUGACCAGUUUUGCCUAGUAAAACCUUAAAAUUACUUUUUAGUUAUCUCAUUUAUUAAAUUGUUCCUUUGUUCGUUCACUCAAAAAUAUUAAUUAAGCCAGGCUUGGUCUUAUUUAGCUUUGAAAUUACAGUGCUGGAUGGUUGUGAAUGCAUACUUUAUUC